ACAUCUUUAUUGUUUGGAUUUGAUCGAGUUCCAUCCAAAGACCAUUCAAGAUCCCGUAAUACUCUGUUACGGAAAGGGAGCCCUGUUUUGUAUUAAAUAUCCUGUUCUUGAUAUCAUAGGUAGCAGCAAGAUCCUUUUUUAAAGAAAAAGUACUUUGUAAAUCAUCCCAUAUUUCUUUUGCGGAAGAAUGAAACAUAUAAUUUUUUCUUACUUCUAGAGUCAUGGAUUGCCACAUCCAAGUCAUAAUUAAAGAAUCUUCUCUAUCCCACAUUGAAAAAUGUUUAUCAUCUGGUGCUGGUCCUCCUCCAUCUAUAUGAUCAAGUUUGGAGCGACUCUUGAGAAUCCUUAAAAUAAAUUGACUCCAUUGUAAGUAAUUCUGACCAUCCAACCACGAGGUACUUCCUAUAUUUGGUAAGUCAUUGGGUACCCUCAAAGAAAUACUCUUUUCUUCAGACAUCCCGUAUCCAAAAAAAAGGGCAAAAACUUCAAACUCAGAUCUACUCAAAUAAAGGCCAAAUGGGUCGUCACCAACCCAAGGAACAGAAUCAGGAGGCUCCGGCGACCCUUCUGCGGCAGCGACAGCGAGUGGGUUCCACCGAAAAAAGAGGAGCAAAACGUAAAGGUCAGAUCUACUCAAGUACAGCCCAAACUAGUCGUCACCGACCCUAGGAACGGACUCAGGGGGCUCCGGCGACCCUGUCUGUGGCGGCACCGGCGAGUGGGUCUCGCUGGAGGUGGGCGCGUGGGCUACACGCGCCGGCGACGGUGGUGGCGCGUGGCAGCUCCGUUCGAGGAGCGACUUCCGGUUCUGUGGUCGCCGGUGUUGGGCGCUCUGCCCUAUCAACGACCCUGACCGGCGACGGUAGCAGCGGCGGUGGUCGGACAGUGGCGGCGGUACGCUUCUUGCAGCGGAAUCUAGCCCCUAAGAUCAGGAGCUCUGACACCAAGUUGAAAAUGAGACUUAUUAUUAUUCUCAAAUCAUGAAAAAUACAUUCUCAAAUCUUCUAUUUGUAAUAAUCUAGUUCUCCUAAAAAGGGAAAUAGGGAAACUAGGAAACCUAGGGAAAAAUAAAAUAAAAUAAAAUAUUAUGUAUCUAUUUCCUCUAAUUAGGAAGAUUCUACAGAUAUUAUCCCAGAUUACAACACUUACUUAAUUACAUUAAUCAGAAUACUCAAUGGUACGAAUACUCAUACUCAGAAAUUAAUUCCUAGAAACAUUUGAGUUUAAAUGGAAGGCUCGAAAACUGCUAAGGAACAUGUAUUUCUACUCUCAAAUCACUUAAGAAAACUAUUCUAUAGCUGAUGCAUCUUUUAAGAGUCUUAUACUAUUCUAUAGCUGAUGCAUCUUUUUUUUAUCAUGUUGCUGUCAUUGUUUUGAAAUAAUUAAGUUUAAAAUUGUUAUUAUGUUUGCAAGUGAAGUGCUCAUGUUUAUAUUGCAGGAAACAAAGAACUUAAAUUUGUCCUUGCAUAUUAGAUUAAAUUACGUUAUCUACAUUUUACUCAUUUAAACUUGUCUCUCAGGGUAUCCUGACAUUUUGUUAAAUAAUUAGAUUUGUUGAUGGUUGUUAAAUAUUAGGUGAUAGCAGUAAUGCAGCAAAGAAGCAUGAUUUUCACUGGUUUAUGCAGAAGCUUAUACAUGUCCUUGCGUGAGGCUGCACCCAUUUGAUUCAAUUUUUGUUGCCCAGUCAAAUGGAAAUUAUGUUGCAAUCUUUACUUCCACCCCACCUUACAGGCUCAACAAAUAUAAGCGAUAUGAGGGCCAUGUGAUCUCUGGGUUCCCAAUCAAGUGCAAUUUCAGCUUGGAUGGGAAAAAACUUGCUUCUGGCUCUUCAGAUGGUUCUAUCUUCCUUUAUGAUUAUCAGUCAUCCAAAGUUGUGAAGAAAAUCAAGGCCCAUGAUCAAGCAUGCAUAGAUGUUGCAUUCCACCCCAUUAUACCUAAUGUUAUUGCUUCAUGCUCGUGGGAUGGAAGUAUUUUGGUAUUUGAGUAGUGAUACCUAUUAUCGUCCCAUUCCAGGGUAAUCUUUAAUUUUCUCAAAAGUCAAUGGGCAUGCAUUUGGUUACUUCUAGAAAAUGAUUUGCUAGGAGAGUGGAAAACUCUAGCUUUCUCUUAGUCUAGGCAGCUGUUUCUUGUUUAUUAGAUACCGUGUGAAUAAUGAAACCUCCCACAAGUCAAUGUUUUCUUAAAUGUGUGCCUUUUACUGUUA
Vigna radiata var. radiata (mung bean) is the source of this 2203-nucleotide long non-coding RNA. RefSeq lists it as uncharacterized. NCBI's taxonomy places the organism in Eukaryota, Viridiplantae, Streptophyta, Magnoliopsida, Fabales, Fabaceae. The transcript has 2 exons. The record is from RefSeq and is a predicted model, not a curated record.